AGUGAACGCUGGCGGUAGGCCUAACACAUGCAAGUCGAACGGCAGCACAGUAAGAGCUUGCUCUUACGGGUGGCGAGUGGCGGACGGGUGAGGAAUACAUCGGAAUCUACUUUUUCGUGGGGGAUAGGGUAGGGGAACUUACGCUAAUACCGCAUACGACCUACGGGUGAAAGCAGGGGAUCUUCGGACCUUGCGCGAUUGAAUGAGCCGAUGUCGGAUUAGCUAGUUGGCGGGGUAACGGCCCACCAAGGCGACGACCGGUAGCUGGUCUGAGAGGAUGAUCAGCCACACUGGAACGGAGACACGGUCCAGACUACUGAGGGAGGCAGCAGUGGGGAAUAUUGGACAAUGGGCGCAAGCCUGAUCCAGCCAUACCGAGUGGGUGAAGAAGGCCUUCGGGUUGUAAAGCCCUUUUGUUGGGAAAGAAAAGCAGCAGGUUAAUACCCCGCUGUUCUGACGGUACCCAAAGAAUAAGCACCGGCUAACUUCGUG
RNAcentral lists this ribosomal RNA (492 nucleotides) under uncultured bacterium. RNAcentral's name for it is "partial 16S ribosomal RNA". It matches the Rfam family "Bacterial small subunit ribosomal RNA", at positions 29 to 507 of the family's 1533-position model. The record is from RNAcentral.